GACGAACGCUGGCGGCGUGCUUAACACAUGCAAGUCGAACGGUAAGGCCCUUCGGGGUACACGAGUGGCGAACGGGUGAGUAACACGUGGGUGAUCUGCCCUGCACUUCGGGAUAAGCCUGGGAAACUGGGUCUAAUACCGGAUAGGACCACUGCCUGCAUGGGCGGUGGGGGAAAGCUUUUGCGGUGUGGGAUGGGCCCGCGGGCUAUCAGCUUGUUGGUGGGGUGAUGGCCUACCAAGGCGACGACGGGUAGCCGGCCUGAGAGGGUGACCGGCCACACUGGGACUGAGAUACGGCCCAGACUCCUACGGGAGGCAGCAGUGGGGAAUAUUGCACAAUGGGCGCAAGCCUGAUGCAGCGACGCCGCGUGAGGGAUGACGGCCUUCGGGUUGUAAACCUCUUUCAGCACCGACGAAGCGCAAGUGACGGUAGGUGCAGAAGAAGGACCGGCCAACUACGUGCCAGCAGCCGCCGUAA
Molecule: ribosomal RNA, 478 nt
Filed under: uncultured bacterium
Lineage: Bacteria
Description: partial 16S ribosomal RNA
Rfam family: Bacterial small subunit ribosomal RNA
Source: RNAcentral